UACGUAGGGACCGAGCGUUGUCCGGAAUCAUUGGGCGUAAAGAGCGUGUAGGCGGCCAAGUAAGUCGUGCGUGAAAUCUCGGGGCUCAACCUCGAGCGGUCGUGGGAAACUGGUUGGCUAGAGUGCGGGAGAGGAGAGUGGAAUUCCUGGUGUAGCGGUGAAAUGCGCAGAUAUCAGGAAGAACACCCGUGGCGAAGGCGGCUCUCUAGAACGCAACUGACGCUGAGACGCGAAAGCGUGGGGAGCAAACAGG
This 253-nucleotide ribosomal RNA is filed under the name uncultured bacterium. Its description in RNAcentral is "partial 16S ribosomal RNA". It matches the Rfam family "Bacterial small subunit ribosomal RNA", at positions 524 to 776 of the family's 1533-position model. The record is from RNAcentral.